AUGGAGUUCACCGCAAUCCGGGCCUCCGCGGCGGCCGCUGGUGGCUGCUCUUCGCCGCCGCCUGCGGCGGAUCAUAAGGCCGAGGAGGAGGCGGCGGGGCCGGUGGAGAAGGAGCACAUGUUCGACAAGGUCGUGACCCCGAGCGACGUGGGCAAGCUGAACCGGCUGGUGAUCCCGAAGCAGCACGCGGAGAAGUACUUCCCGCUCGACGCCUCCUCCACCGACAAGGGCCUCCUGCUCAGCUUCGAGGACCGCGCCGGCAAGCCGUGGCGCUUCCGCUACUCCUACUGGAACAGCAGCCAGAGCUACGUCAUGACCAAGGGCUGGAGCCGCUUCGUCAAGGAGAAGCGCCUCGACGCCGGGGACACCGUCUCCUUCGGCCGCGGCGUCGGGGAGGCCGCCAGGGGGAGGCUCUUCAUCGACUGGCGCCGCCGCCCCGACGUCGUCCUGCCGCCUGGGCACCACCGAGGCUUUGCCCUCCCCUCUGUGCCCUUCUCGCCGUGGAUGGCUCACCCGGCCGGACCCGGCGGCGCUGGCGGCAGGAUGUUCCUCCAGGCGACUACGCCGGCGACCGUCUACGAUUACGACGCCUACCAGCACAACCACCAGCGGCGACACAUCGGAUACGACGGGUACGGGGCGGCGCCCGGCAGGCAGGUCGUGUACUACCAGCCGCAGCAGCACUACCACCACCAGCACCAGUCGCUGGUCCUGGAGUCGGUGCCGGUGCGCAUGGCGGCAGCGCCAGGGCACCCGGAGCCGUCCGCGGUGGCGACGUCGGGGUCGAAGCGGGUGCGGCUCUUCGGGGUGAACCUCGAGUGCGCGGCGGACGCCGAGGAGGACUUCAGCGGGCACGGGAGAACGGCGACAACGGCGCUGCAGCUGCUGUCACCGGCCUCCUCCUCAUCGUCGUCGUCCGGGAAAGCGAGGUGCUCUUUGAAUCUUGACUUGUGA
RNAcentral lists this ribosomal RNA (954 nucleotides) under Triticum aestivum (bread wheat). Its description in RNAcentral is "partial small subunit ribosomal RNA". The record is from RNAcentral. Lineage: Eukaryota; Viridiplantae; Streptophyta; Magnoliopsida; Poales; Poaceae.